GAGCCCGAGCCCGAGCCCGGCCCAGGGAGGGGCGCGCCCGGCGGCAGGGGGCUGCCCAGAAGGCCAAGGCGACGCGGAGAGCCGCCCCCGCCCGCCUCGCCCUGUUCGCUCUGCACGGCGCCAUAACUUUAGGUAGAAAGAGUCCCAUGUGAAUGUGACAUCUCAGCUGGCCCAUAUGCAUCGGAGACUCGGAUCCAUGGUGUGCAAAUACUCCAAGCCAAGACCCUUGAGGUCAGUGCUACUCCCACAUGACUUGGGCACAUCCAUUCAAGAAACCACUCCUCUGGAUGGUGGCUGCACUCAAGGACACAGUCAGAAAAAAUGUGUUGAAAGCAACCUCAAGGACAAACUUCAUAACAAAUGAGUAGCACAACAACUUAAGGGACCAUUUCCCCCCAUAGGAGAAUUCAUACCUAAAAACCUAAAGAAAAUGAAAGUUGGAAACGAAGUUUGAUACAGUUAAAAAUCUUCAAGAAGAUAAAGAAGAAUCCACAUCUGUAAAACAAAACCGGAAGGGAACCAAGCAAACCCAUGCAGCAGAAAGGGGUACAACUAUCUAGAAUUUUUACUAAAUCAAAGUUAUUGGCAUUGAGAAAUAACCAACUCAAAGGACAAAUUAGUAAGUAGAGCUGAAGAGAGAAUCACUGGAUUAGAAGCAGGAACUGGGGAAAUCCUUCAGAAUGACAUGCAAAAUAAGGGAAUUAAACAAGUGGAAGAAGAAAUAUCACAGAAUGAAUAAGAAUCUUCAGUGUAUGUAUUACCACUCAUAAGAUACUGCAGGGUGACCAAGCUCUCUCCAGAACUGAAACAUGAAUUAGAAGGUCUACAGAAUGUCUACUAGGACAUUACAAAAAAAACUACAUCUAGACACCUUUUAGUCAAAAGUGUAGAAUAUCAAGAAUAAAGAGGAAAUUCUAAAAGCCACCAGAGAGAAAAGAUCACUUAUCUCCAAAGGUUCAAUAAUUGAAUUGACAGUGAACUUCUCAUCAGCAACAACAGAUGCCAAAAGACAGAGGAGCACAUCUUUCAGAGUGCUGAGGGCAAAGAAUUGGGAACCUUAAUUUCCAUCUGUUGCCAAACUGUCGUUUAAAUCAAAGGGCAAAAUAAAGACAUUUGGACAUGUA
This is a long non-coding RNA of Mesocricetus auratus (golden hamster), 1124 nucleotides long. RefSeq lists it as uncharacterized. The record is from RefSeq and is a predicted model, not a curated record. The transcript has 2 exons. Lineage: Eukaryota; Metazoa; Chordata; Mammalia; Rodentia; Cricetidae.